This is a long non-coding RNA of Gossypium raimondii (Peruvian cotton), 586 nucleotides long. RefSeq lists it as uncharacterized. The transcript has 2 exons. The record is from RefSeq and is a predicted model, not a curated record. Lineage: Eukaryota; Viridiplantae; Streptophyta; Magnoliopsida; Malvales; Malvaceae.
GACUAAAUGCACAAAUAUCCCCUCUAGGUCAGAUUUGCGCAGGUCAUACCACCUAAACGGCGCCGUUUUAUCCUUCUUACUUAAACUCAAUUUUAACAAAAAAAAAAAACAUUUAACUAAAACAAACAAAAAAAACGCUUAAUUCUUUUUCUUUUCCUCUGCUAGGGUUUCAAAACCCCAACCCCAAAAGCCGCCGCCAGUCCCUCGAUCUCCACCGCGAGUUUCUGCGAGCAAGACGCCUCACUCCGGCUCCGAUUCGGGCAGGUCAACGCAGGUACGUGGAGGCGUGCGGAGCGGCAUUUACGGAGGGGUGGUGCGCAGACGGAGGCGCGCAAAGAGGGGUGCACGGUAGUUGCGGCGGCUGGUGGUUUCUUUCUUAGGGUUUCUGCUGAAAUUUAGUUAGUGGGCUGUUAGGGUUUGGGCCUAGAUUUAGUUUAUUUUUGUUUUGUAAUGGUCUGGGCCAAUUGGGCCUUAUUACAAGUAUCAUUAAUGACCUGUUCCCUAAAAAAAAUAUGUGUCAUCAUUGACCAAACACUCAGGCGGCAUGCUAUUAAUUUGAAUUUGUCAAUUUACUGUUAUUUAAAAA